AUACGGAGGGGGCUAGCGUUGUUCGGAAUUACUGGGCGUAAAGCGCGCGUAGGCGGAUUGAUCAGUCAGGGGUGAAAUCCCGAGGCUUAACCUCGGAACUGCCUCUGAUACUGUCAAUCUUGAGUUCGAGAGAGGUGAGUGGAAUUCCUAGUGUAGAGGUGAAAUUCGUAGAUAUUAGGAAGAACACCAGUGGCGAAGGCGGCUCACUGGCUCGAUACUGACGCUGAGGUGCAAAAGCGUGGGGAGCAAACAGGAUUAGAAACCCUAGUAGUCC
RNAcentral lists this ribosomal RNA (274 nucleotides) under uncultured bacterium. Its description in RNAcentral is "partial 16S ribosomal RNA". It matches the Rfam family "Bacterial small subunit ribosomal RNA", at positions 523 to 796 of the family's 1533-position model. The record is from RNAcentral.